Long non-coding RNA from Protobothrops mucrosquamatus (brown spotted pit viper), 564 nucleotides. RefSeq lists it as uncharacterized. Lineage: Eukaryota; Metazoa; Chordata; Lepidosauria; Squamata; Viperidae. The record is from RefSeq and is a predicted model, not a curated record. The transcript is spliced from 4 exons.
AAAAUAUGUUGGCCAUUCUGCUCAUGUUACAAAUGUCCGCUGGUCACAUGACUUCCAAUGGGUAAUCAGUACGGGAGGUGCAGAUCAUUCUGUUUUUCAAUGGCGGUUUAUUCCAGAAGGUGUAACAACUGGAAUCCUUGAAGCAGCCCGUAUAGAUUGUGGCAUAGAUUCCUACAGUGAAGAAUCAGAUUCUGAUUUAUCUGAUGUGCCAGAAUUAGAUUCAGAUAUUGAGCAAGAAGCUCAAAUCAAUUAUGUUCGACAGGUUUACAAAGAAGAUCUACCUCAACUGAAACAGCAACGUAAAGAGAAAAGCCAUUCAGUGCCCUUCCUUAAGAGAGAGAGAGCCCCCGAUGACAGUUUAAAGCUGCAAUUUAUACAUGGUUAUAGAGGCUAUGAUUGUCGAAACAAUUUAUUCUACACACAGACUGGAGAAGUGGUUUAUCAUAUUGCUGCUGUUGCUGUGGUGUAUAAUAGACAGCAGCACACCCAAAGACUAUAUCUUGGUCAUGAUGAUGACAUCCUCAGUCUUGCCAUCCAUCCUAUGAAAGAUUAUGUUGCUACUGG